RNAcentral lists this ribosomal RNA (277 nucleotides) under uncultured soil bacterium. RNAcentral's name for it is "partial 16S ribosomal RNA". It matches the Rfam family "Bacterial small subunit ribosomal RNA", at positions 26 to 290 of the family's 1533-position model. The record is from RNAcentral.
AGAAUCAACGCUGGCGGCGUGCCUAACACAUGCAAGUCGAACGCGAAAGGGGAGCAAUCCCUGAGUAGAGUGGCAAACGGGUGAGUAACACGUGGGUGACCUGCCUUCGAGUGGGGGAUAACGUCCCGAAAGGGACGCUAAUACCGCAUGAUAUCCUGCUCUUGGAUGGGCGGAGAUCAAAGCUGGGGAUCGCAAGACCUGGCGCUUGAAGAGGGGCCCGCGCCUGAUUAGCUAGUUGGUGGGGUAACGGCCUACCAAGGCUACGAUCAGUAUCCGG